UGGCGGCGUGCCUAACACAUGCAAGUCGAGCGAAUCGAUUUAGCGGAAGUUUUCGGAUGGAAGUUAAAUUGACUGAGCGGCGGACGGGUGAGUAACGCGUGGGUAACCUGCCUCAUACAGGGGGAUAACAGUUAGAAAUGACUGCUAAUACCGCAUAAGCGCACAGCAUCGCAUGAUGCAGUGUGAAAAACUCCGGUGGUAUGAGAUGGACCCGCGUCUGAUUAGCUAGUUGGUGAGGUAAAGGCCCACCAAGGCGACGAUCAGUAGCCGACCUGAGAGGGUGAUCGGCCACAUUGGGACUGAGACACGGCCCAAACUCCUACGGGAGGCAGCAGUGGGGAAUAUUGCACAAUGGGGGGAACCCUGAUGCAGCAACGCCGCGUGAGUGAAGAAGUAUUUCGGUAUGUAAAGCUCUAUCAGCAGGGAAGAAAAUGACGGUACCUGACUAAGAAGCCCCGGCUAACUACGUGCCAGCAGCCGCGGUAAUACGUAGGGGGCAAGCGUUAUCCGGAUUUACUGGGUGUAAAGGGAGCGUAGACGGCGAAGCAAGUCUGAAGUGAAAGCCCGGGGCUUAACCCCGGGACUGCUUUGGAAACUGUUUUGCUAGAGUGCUGGAGAGGUAAGUGGAAUUCCUAGUGUAGCGGUGAAAUGCGUAGAUAUUAGGAGGAACACCAGUGGCGAAGGCGGCUUACUGGACAGUAACUGACGUUGAGGCUCGAAAGCGUGUGGAGCAAACAGGAUUAGAUACCCUGGUAGUCCACGCGGUAAACGAUGAAU
RNAcentral lists this ribosomal RNA (777 nucleotides) under uncultured organism. RNAcentral's name for it is "SSU rRNA". It matches the Rfam family "Bacterial small subunit ribosomal RNA", at positions 37 to 814 of the family's 1533-position model. The record is from RNAcentral.